RNAcentral lists this ribosomal RNA (445 nucleotides) under uncultured bacterium. RNAcentral describes it as "bacterial SSU rRNA". It matches the Rfam family "Bacterial small subunit ribosomal RNA", at positions 330 to 793 of the family's 1533-position model. The record is from RNAcentral.
CCCAGACUCCUACGGGAGGCAGCAGUGGGGGAUAUUGCACAAUGGGGGAAACCCUGAUGCAGCGAUGCCGCGUGAGUGAAGACGGCCUUCGGGUUGUAAAGCUCUGUCGCAGAGGACGAAAAUGACGGUACUCUGCAAGAAAGCUCCGGCUAACUACGUGCCAGCAGCCGCGGUAAUACGUAGGGAGCGAGCGUUGUCCGGAAUUACUGGGUGUAAAGGGAGCGUAGGCGGGGAUGCAAGUUGGGUGUUAAAUCUACCGGCUCAACUGGUAGUCGCACUCAAAACUGCAGCUCUUGAGUGAAGUAGAGGCAGGCGGAAUUCCUAGUGUAGCGGUGAAAUGCGUAGAUAUUAGGAGGAACACCAGUGGCGAAGGCGGCCUGCUGGGCUUUUACUGACGCUGAGGCUCGAAAGUGUGGGGAGCAAACAGGAUUAGAUACCCCCGUAU